Molecule: non-coding RNA, 75 nt
Organism: Streptomyces yokosukanensis
Lineage: Bacteria; Bacillati; Actinomycetota; Actinomycetes; Kitasatosporales; Streptomycetaceae
Rfam family: ASpks TB sRNA
Source: Rfam
CUUGAUGGACCCGAGCCACAGCGGGGUGUCCGUGGGGCGGUCCUGGCCGUAGGUGGCCAGCAGCGCCUGGGCCUC